RNAcentral lists this ribosomal RNA (484 nucleotides) under uncultured bacterium. RNAcentral's name for it is "partial 16S ribosomal RNA". It matches the Rfam family "Bacterial small subunit ribosomal RNA", at positions 30 to 507 of the family's 1533-position model. The record is from RNAcentral.
AUUGAACGCUGGCGGCAGGCCUAACACAUGCAAGUCGAGCGGAUGAAGGGAGCUUGCUCCUGGAUUCAGCGGCGGACGGGUGAGUAAUGCCUAGGAAUCUGCCUGGUAGUGGGGGCUAACGUCCGGAAACGGGCGCUAAUACCGCAUACGUCCUGAGGGAGAAAGUGGGGGAUCUUCGGACCUCACGCUAUCAGAUGAGCCUAGGUCGGAUUAGCUAGUUGGUGGGGUAAAGGCCUACCAAGGCGACGAUCCGUAACUGGUCUGAGAGGAUGAUCAGUCACACUGGAACUGAGACACGGUCCAGACUCCUACGGGAGGCAGCAGUGGGGAAUAUUGGACAAUGGACGAAAGCCUGAUCUAGCCAUGCCGCGUGUGUGAAGAAGGUCUUCGGAUUGUAAAGCACUUUAAGUUGGGAGGAAGGGCAGUAAGUUAAUACCUUGCUGUUUUGACGUUACCAACAGAAUAAGCACCGGCUAACUUCGUG